Long non-coding RNA from Cebus imitator (Panamanian white-faced capuchin), 691 nucleotides. RefSeq lists it as uncharacterized. The transcript is spliced from 3 exons. Lineage: Eukaryota; Metazoa; Chordata; Mammalia; Primates; Cebidae. The record is from RefSeq and is a predicted model, not a curated record.
AUUAAUCAAAUUAAGAUGAGAUCAUCCUAGAGUAGAGUGGGCCCUAAUCCAAUAUGCCUGUUGUCCUUAUCAAACGAGGAGACCCAGAGACAGACACCCAGAGAGGAGAAGGCCCUGUGAAGAUGGAGGCAGAGAUGGCAGCAAUGCAUCUACAAGCUAAGGAUUGCUGGAACGCCCAGGAGCUAGGGGAGAGGCAUGGCACAGACACUCUUCCAGAACCUUCAGAAAGAGCAUAUCCCUGCUGACCUUGGUUUCCAACUUCCAGUUCUCAUCAGAACGCUGACAGAAUGAACGUCUGCUGUUCUAGACCACCCAGUUUGUGUAAUUUGUUAUGGCAGACACAGAAAACCGGUAUCCUCCCGAAUGAACUACUUGCAACUGAAUCCUGGGUUCAGAAUCUGCGUCUUUGCAACAACACGAAUGCAACUGGAGGUCAUUAUGGGGCAAAAACUGGCUGGGGAGCUGGGCGAUGGCUUGGAGGCAGGAGAGAGAGCAGUACCAGUCAUUCAGUAUCCAGCAAUGAUUUGUUAAUGGUCUCCCCUGUGCCUGGCACUGCACUGGGCGCCAGAGUUACAACAGGAACGGAGGUGAAGCUUCUGGUCUCCUGAAUUUACAUUCUCAUCACAGGAGAGCCACAUCCAGCCUCAUCACUCGUAACAGGCUUCCAUCAGACAAUGGUAAGGAUCAUAAA